Molecule: ribosomal RNA, 606 nt
Filed under: Lyonia ligustrina
Lineage: Eukaryota; Viridiplantae; Streptophyta; Magnoliopsida; Ericales; Ericaceae
Description: eukaryotic LSU rRNA
Rfam family: 5.8S ribosomal RNA (bases 255-410)
Source: RNAcentral
AAGCAGAAAACCCGCGAACUUGUCUAAUACUCUCUGGGGGAUGAUGUGCGGGUCGCGGCCCAGUUGCCUCGCCUUCCAUCCUUCCCCCAGCGGCGGGUAGAUGCGCACGGACCCUUCGGGCAACGUGUUCGUUUACUUGUCAAAACAACGAACCCCGGCGCAAGACGCGCCAAGGAAAAAUCGAACAAAGAGCGCGCGUCCCCCUACCCGUUUUCGGGCGGUGUCGGCGUAUGCAAUCUUUCGUAUAACUGAACGACUCUCGGCAACGGAUAUCUCGGCUCUUGCAUCGAUGAAGAACGUAGCGAAAUGCGAUACUUGGUGUGAAUUGCAGAAUCCCGUGAACCAUCGAGUCUUUGAACGCAAGUUGCGCCUGAAGCCAUUAGGUUGAAGGCACGUCUGCCUGGGCGUCACGCAUUGCGUCACCCGCUCCCCCGUGCCUCUGAGCGGGCACGUGCCGGUGCGUGGGUGGAUAUUGGCCCCCCGUUCACAUUCGUGCUCGGUCGGCCUAAAAAACGGGUCCCCCAACGACGGACAUCGCGACAAGUGGUGGUUGCCAAACCGUCGCGCCGUGUCGUGCGUGCCAUCGUUUGUUGUGGGUUGGCCCAU